This is a long non-coding RNA of Pantherophis guttatus, 714 nucleotides long. RefSeq lists it as uncharacterized. Lineage: Eukaryota; Metazoa; Chordata; Lepidosauria; Squamata; Colubridae. The record is from RefSeq and is a predicted model, not a curated record.
UUUUUUUUCUUUUAGCACUGCUUUGCAGCCAUCAUUGCAUAAUGGGAAGCAGUAUGUCUGGGAACAGACACAUAGUAUAUGUAGAUGACCAGAUUGAGUCUGAGGGAGAGGUCAAACAUGUCAUCAGUCAUGAAUCCCUUCAUGGCCACAAGAAACCUAAGUCCAACCCACUGUGAAUUCCUUAUUUACCACCAAAUUGCUUUAACGAUAUGGGAUCAAACCACCUGGAUUGCUGUGACAGAUACAAAUACCUUUACCUUGUGAACAGUUCUGGCUUUAAAUAUGCUUGCAGGUCAAUUUAAGCCCUUCAUGGCAUCAUGGGCAGGUUAUUUGAGGAAACCUCACUCUCCAAUGGUCUCAACAUCAGGCGUGGCAGGAAGGUAAUGCUCCAGCUCCUGUCAAUUAGGAAAUCCCAUCUUGUAAGACUCAGUAAUGAAAUGGCACUUGUCACUCAAGGUCAGUUUGGUCUUGGACCUGCUAGCCAUUUGGAAAGCCCUUAAGAUUUGUCUGCUUUCCUGGUUUGGAGGUUGAGAAAUUAGGUGAACCCAUAAUAUUAUAUUGGUUUAGUCCAUUGCCAUUUUAUGUUCUUUUGUUCAGGAUGCUUAUUAUUUUAAUAUUCUGUAUUGAUAUAUUAUAUGUUAGCCAUCCAAAGUCAUGUUUGCAAGAUGGACUGGCCAUACAUCAAUUUAAAUAAAUAAUAGAUGACUUAUAUAA